This 440-nucleotide ribosomal RNA is filed under the name uncultured bacterium. Its description in RNAcentral is "partial 16S ribosomal RNA". It matches the Rfam family "Bacterial small subunit ribosomal RNA", at positions 338 to 795 of the family's 1533-position model. The record is from RNAcentral.
CCUACGGGUGGCAGCAGUGGGGAAUAUUGCACAAUGGGGGCAACCCUGAUGCAGCGACGCCGCGUGAAGGAAGACGUAUUUCGGUAUGUAAACUUCUAUCAGCAGGGAAGAAAAUGCCGGUACCUGACUCAGAAGCCCCGGCUAACUACGUGCCAGCAGACGCGGUAAUACGGAGGGGGCAAGGGUUAUCCGGAUUUACUGGGUGUAAAGGGAGUGUAGGCGGUAGUGCAAGUCAGAAGUGAAAGCCCAAGGCUCAACCAUGGGACUGCUUUUGAUACUGUACAGCUAGAGUGCAGGAGAGGUAAGUGGAAUGCCUAGUGUAGCGGUGAAAUGCGUAGAUAUUAUGAGGAACACCAGUGGCGAAGGCAGCUUACUGAACUGUAAAUGACGCUGAGGCUCGAAAGCGUGGGGAGCAAACAGGAUUAGAUACCCUUGUAGUC